RNAcentral lists this ribosomal RNA (166 nucleotides) under uncultured bacterium. RNAcentral's name for it is "partial 16S ribosomal RNA". It matches the Rfam family "Bacterial small subunit ribosomal RNA", at positions 331 to 494 of the family's 1533-position model. The record is from RNAcentral.
UUCUACUCCUACGGGAGGCAGCAGUGAGGAAUAUUGGGCAAUGGGGGCAAGCCUGACCCAGCCAUGCCGCGUGCAGGAAGACUGCCCUAUGGGUUGUAAACUGCUUUUAUACUGGAAGAAUAAGGGGUACGUGUACCCUGGUGACGUACCGUAGAGAGAUCGUGCC